RNAcentral lists this long non-coding RNA (952 nucleotides) under Lathyrus oleraceus (garden pea). RNAcentral describes it as "Pisum sativum (pea) long non-coding RNA (PSAT_LNC038159)". The record is from RNAcentral. Lineage: Eukaryota; Viridiplantae; Streptophyta; Magnoliopsida; Fabales; Fabaceae.
AUUAAUUUACAAGUCCAACAAGCUAUACAUUCAAACGGAUAAUCGAUCCAGACCCGCAACUCAGCAAAUGCACAACCGAAAUUGAAAUAAUCAUAAACGCACAACCAUAAUCAUCGUACUAGUUUCAACAACUUACGAUUUCACCAAAAUUGUAAUUGAAAUGAAAAAUGUAAUCAUCACAACAACACAUCACAACAACACAAAACAACAGCACAUGCGUAUCAUUAUGUAAAUUAUGCAGCGAAUCCAGAAUUAUAGAUUAACAACAAUACUGCAGCGACAAAUACACAACAAAUGCAUAUGGACAACUUCUUUUCGAUAACUAGAAUACAGCAUACAAAAGUGAAAUUUGUAACAGCUUAAAAAAAACAACCACAUGAUUAAGAUCAAAUUAAAGCACCAUAAUGGACACGUUUGAAGAAACUCGAAGUCGUUACCAAAACACGGAUCUUCGUUGCUACAAGUUGCUGAUGCGUUUUUGGCUUUGCGUGCGAUUUUGCUUCUACCGGUAGCGUCGCCGUAUUUUGUUCAGGAGACCAUUCUUCUCACUUUUCAUGUGGAGUUCUGGCGAUCUGAAAAUGGUAUUUAUCUUCAGCGGCUACGUCAUGAGUGGAUGGAUACGGCGAUGAAGAGGAAGAAGUCGUCGGUAGUGGUGUUGUUGUUGGACGGUGAUGGGGAGCUUGCCGAUCGAACAGGCGGAGGAGAGUUGUGGUGGAUGAACCGGAGGAGGUCGUUGUGGUUGGAUGAGGGUGAAUUUUGAGGCGCGAAUCACGAACGGAGAGGGCGAUUUCCAACGGCGGGAAUCGUGGCUGUUGGCGAAAACAGAGGGAGAAAGAGUUGGCGUUUGGACGGUGGAUGGUUGUUACGGAGUGGAAGUGAAGGUCGGUUCGUGAGGGUUUUUGUUGGUCGUUUGGGGAAGACGAUGAGGGAGUUCGCGUGUGAGAGAGAAAAG